GAAAUGCGAUAAGUAAUGUGAAUUGCAGAAUUCAGUGAAUCAUCGAAUCUUUGAACGCACCUUGCGCUCCCUGGUAUUCCGGGGAGCAUGCCUGUUUGAGUGUCAUGGAAUUCUCAACUUCUAAUACUUUUUUGUAUCAGAAGCUUGGAUUUGGAGGCUCGUGCUGGCUCUCUCGUUAGAGUCGGCUCCUCUUAAAUGAAUUAGCGUGAAUCACUAUGGAUCGCUUCGGUGUGAUAAUUAUCUGCGCCGUAGUCGUGAAGUAUUAAUAAAAGUUCUCGCUUCUAAUCGUCCUUCACGGGACAAUUAACCCUGACUUUUUGACCUCAAAUCAGGUAGGACUACCCGCUGAACUUAA
This 355-nucleotide ribosomal RNA is filed under the name uncultured fungus. Its description in RNAcentral is "eukaryotic LSU rRNA". The stretch from base 1 to 105 matches the Rfam family "5.8S ribosomal RNA", at positions 50 to 154 of the family's 154-position model. Lineage: Eukaryota; Fungi. The record is from RNAcentral.